This is an RNA transcript of Fragaria vesca subsp. vesca, 1225 nucleotides long. It is a transcript of the gene named transcription factor bHLH25-like, with no coding region annotated. Lineage: Eukaryota; Viridiplantae; Streptophyta; Magnoliopsida; Rosales; Rosaceae. The record is from RefSeq and is a predicted model, not a curated record. The transcript has 4 exons.
GAAUCGGAAAAGAACAAUACAACUCUCUCAGAGCAGUCUUCUGAUCCCGUAUUAAGUCUGAAGUUCGAAAGGUGUUACCAAGAUCUAGCUACUGCGUCGAAAGAACAGCAGGUGUUUUGAAUAUUAAUGGAGAUGAUUUCAUCAGCAAAAUGGGUAUCUGAAUUGGAAAUGGAAGAUCCCACAUUCCUGAAUCAGUAUGAAAUGAACUUUCAUCUGGACUACUCACUUGAAGAUCUCAAUUUCCGGUCUUUAUCUGCUGAGAGCUACUCGUCUUACCCAGAUUUUACCCCUCCACAAAAUGAUGUUGAUGAAAGGCCAGCAAAACAGCCGAAAAAUAACCACAGUAACUGGAACUCUUGCACUACCACUCAUGAUCACAAAACUACAGUCCCAAGGGCUUCCUCUUCUGCCUCCUCGCACCUAAUUUCUUUUGACAAUUCCAACUCGUCAGCAUAUGGUUCUCUUGAUUGCACUACCACUGUGAAGCCAAAGAAUGAGGUCCAGGGUUCUGGUGGAAAUUUGAAUUCCAUUCCAACUUUGAUUUCACAAGGUAAUUCUUAUGACCCCCAAACUUGUUCACCAAACCGUGCAUAUGGCCAAGGGAUCAAGAGGGCUGCUACUGUCACUAGAAGUCCCUUACAUGCUCAAGAUCACGUUCUAGCUGAGCGAAAGCGCCGAGAAAAGCUCAGUCAGCGGUUCAUCGCUCUAUCAGCCCUAGUACCAGGUCUAAAGAAGAUGGACAAGGCUUCAGUGCUUGGAGAUGCCAUAAAAUAUGUGAAACAGCUGCAAGAACGUAUGAAGAUUCUAGAGGAACAAGCGGCAAAGAAAACCGUGGAGUCAGUGGUGUUUGUGAAGAGAACUCAGUACUCUGCGGACGAUGACAUCUCCUCAUCCGAUGAGAACUUCGACAGCUGCUCGGACCAACCACUCCCUGAAAUCGAAGCUAGGGUUUCAGACAAAGAGGUUCUCAUCCGAAUCCACUGUGAGAAAAAGAAAGGGUGUCUGGCAAACAUACUACACGAAAUAGAGAGGCUUAAUCUCACCAUUCUGAAUAGCAGCUUCUUGCCCUUUGGCAAUUCAACUCUUGAUAUCACUGUCGUUUCUCAGGUAUAUACAUAAUUCCCUGAAUGUGUGUCGUUAUUCCGUUUUGUUCAUUAAGAUAUUAACAUGCUUAAUGUAAAUACCUAAAACUAAUUAGUAGUACUUUCUUGAUUACAGAUGGACG